AUUGAACGCUGGCGGCAGGCCUAACACAUGCAAGUCGAGCGGAUGAAGGGAGCUUGCUCCUGGAUUCAGCGGCGGACGGGUGAGUAAUGCCUAGGAAUCUGCCUGGUAGUGGGGGAUAACGUCCGGAAACGGGCGCUAAUACCGCAUACGUCCUGAGGGAGAAAGUGGGGGAUCUUCGGACCUCACGCUACCAGAUGAGCCUAGGUCGGAUUAGUUAGUUGGUGGGGUGAAGGCCUACCAAGGCGACGAUCCGUAACUGGUCUGAGAGGAUGAUCAGUCACACUGGAACUGAGACACGGUCCAGACUCCUACGGGAGGCAGCAGUGGGGAAUAUUGGACAAUGGGCGAAAGCCUGAUCCAGCCAUGCCGCGUGUGUGAAGAAGGUCUUCGGAUUGUAAAGCACUUUAAGUUGGGAGGAAGGGCAGUAAGUUAAUACCUUGCUGUUUUGACGUUACCAACAGAAUAAGCACCGGCUAACUUCGUG
RNAcentral lists this ribosomal RNA (484 nucleotides) under uncultured bacterium. RNAcentral's name for it is "partial 16S ribosomal RNA". It matches the Rfam family "Bacterial small subunit ribosomal RNA", at positions 30 to 507 of the family's 1533-position model. The record is from RNAcentral.